AUGCAGUCGAGCGCAGGAACAAGUUGAUCCCUUCGGGGUGACGCUUGUGGAAUGAGCGGCGGACGGGUGAGUAACACGUGGGCAACCUACCUUGUAGACUGGGAUAACUCCGGGAAACCGGAGCUAAUACGGGAUGAUCAUUUGAAUCGCAUGAUUGAAAUGUAAAAGUGGGGAGUAAUCCUCACACUACGAGAUGGGCCCGCGGCGCAUUAGCUAGUUGGUAAGGUAAUGGCUUACCAAGGCAACGAUGCGUAGCCGACCUGAGAGGGUGAUCGGCCACACUGGAACUGAGACACGGUCCAGACUCCUACGGGAGGCAGCAGUAGGGAAUCAUCCGCAAUGGGCGAAAGCCUGACGGUGCAACGCCGCGUGAACGAUGAAGGUUUUCGGAUCGUAAAGUUCUGUUAUGAGGGAAGAACAAGUGCCGUUCGAAUAGGGCGGCACCUUGACGGUACCUCACGAGAAAGCCCCGGCUAACUACGUGCCAGCAGCCGCGGUAAUACGUAGGGGGCAAGCGUUGUCCGGAAUUAUUGGGCGUAAAGCGCGCGCAGGCGGUCUCUUAAGUCUGAUGUGAAAGCCCACGGCUCAACCGUGGAGGGUCAUUGGAAACUGGGAGACUUGAGUGUAGGAGAGGAAAGUGGAAUUCCACGUGUAGCGGUGAAAUGCGUAGAUAUGUGGAGGAACACCAGUGGCGAAGGCGACUUUCUGGCCUACAACUGACGCUGAGGCGCGAAAGCGUGGGGAGCAAACAGGAUUAGAUACCCUGGUAGUCCACGCUGUAAACGAUGAGUGCUAGGUGUUAGGGGUUUCGAUGCCCU
RNAcentral lists this ribosomal RNA (818 nucleotides) under Bacillus sp. (in: firmicutes). RNAcentral describes it as "bacterial SSU rRNA". It matches the Rfam family "Bacterial small subunit ribosomal RNA", at positions 55 to 840 of the family's 1533-position model. The record is from RNAcentral. Lineage: Bacteria; Bacillati; Bacillota; Bacilli; Caryophanales; Bacillaceae.